Molecule: ribosomal RNA, 247 nt
Filed under: uncultured bacterium
Lineage: Bacteria
Description: partial 16S ribosomal RNA
Rfam family: Bacterial small subunit ribosomal RNA
Source: RNAcentral
AAGAUGGCGACCGGCGCACGGGUGAGUAACACGUAUCCAACCUGCCGAUAACUCCGGAAUAGCCUUUCGAAAGAAAGAUUAAUACCGGAUGGCAUACGAAUAUCGCAUGAUAUUUUUAUUAAAGAAUUUCGGUUAUCGAUGGGAUGCGUUCCAUUAGUUUGUUGGCGGGGUAACGGCCCACCAAGACUACGAUGGAUAGGGGUUCUGAGAGGAAGGUCCCCCACAUUGGAACUGAGACACGGUCCAA